GUGGCGAGUGGCGAACGGGUGAGUAAUAUAUCGGAACGUGCCCAGUCGUGGGGGAUAACGUAGCGAAAGUUACGCUAAUACCGCAUACGAUCUACGGAUGAAAGCGGGGGAUCGCAAGACCUCGCGCGAUUGGAGCGGCCGAUGGCUGAUUAGCUAGUUGGUGGGGUAAAAGCCUACCAAGGCUACGAUCAGUAGCUGGUCUGAGAGGACGACCAGCCACACUGGGACUGAGACACGGCCCAGACUCC
This 248-nucleotide ribosomal RNA is filed under the name uncultured bacterium. RNAcentral describes it as "partial 16S ribosomal RNA". It matches the Rfam family "Bacterial small subunit ribosomal RNA", at positions 88 to 339 of the family's 1533-position model. The record is from RNAcentral.